GAUGAAGAACGUAGCGAAAUGCGAUACUUGGUGUGAAUUGCAGAAUCCCGUGAACCAUCGAGUCUUUGAACGCAAGUUGCGCCCGAAGCCAUUAGGCCGAGGGCACGCCUGCCUGGGUGUCACACACCGUUACCCUCGCGCCAACGUCCAUCGUUGGCCGCGGCGCGGGGCGUGCGCUGACCUCCCGCGAGCGGGGUCUCGUGGUUGGUUGAAAAUCGAGUUCGCGGUCGAGGGUGCCGUGAUGAAAUGGUGGAUGGGCGACGCCCGAGGCCAAUCACGCGCGACUCUGUCCGGCUUGGACUCCUGGACCCCUUCGGCGUCUCCGGACGCUCUUUGGCGAGACCUCAGGUCAGGCGGGGCUACCCGCUGAGUUUAAGCAUAUCAAAAGCGGAGGA
This 395-nucleotide unclassified non-coding RNA is filed under the name soil metagenome. RNAcentral describes it as "partial contains 5.8S ribosomal RNA, internal transcribed spacer 2, and large subunit ribosomal RNA". The stretch from base 1 to 122 matches the Rfam family "5.8S ribosomal RNA", at positions 35 to 154 of the family's 154-position model. The record is from RNAcentral.